CUCAAACAGCGAAGGUUGUUGUGGCGGCGGCGACGGAAAGACGGAGAUGAUACUUACGGAGGAAGCUCUGAGGAUAGUACUCGGCAUGGGCUUCCUCCGUUAGUCAUAUCACUGCAGGAAGCGCUUGGGAAAGUGUUUGGCGGAGGAUAUUCGUGCUCCUCCUGAUACUCUACCACCAUACUAUUCUUUCAUGACGUCAUUGAAAGCUGGCGACUUUGGCUAUUCAUUGUUUGGCUGUCUCUAUGAUCUAAAAUCUGCUCUUAGUACCUGAGUAUAAAUUGGCUAUUCUCACUGUCAGUGAUACUGUCUCAGCUGGGGGCUGGACCUGAUCGAAGUGGACACAGGCUGUAUCAGUGAUUAAUUUCUCUUCAGACCUCAUUCUUACACUUGGUGGUACUGGCUUCACUCCAAGAGAAGCAAAAAAAAGAAGUGAUCGAGAGAGAAACACCCGGUCUUCUCUUUGUUAUGAUGCGAGAGAGCUUAAAGAUCACGCCAUUUGCGACGCUCUCACCCUCUGCAGCAGGAAUUAGAGAGGCUCAACAUUGAUAAUCUACCUACCUGGGAACCUAAACGCAGUAGCCGAGUGUGUGAAGGCGCUGUUACCAGCGUUGAAGCACGCCCCGAAGCAGAUCAAAGGAGACAAGAGAGAGAGAGAGAAACAUCCAAAGCAUAUGGCAGAAGCCACCGCACCACCGGCUGACACAUGGGAGCAGACGACACAAAAGAUGGUGGCUGUUCUUGUACUCACUGAAACUUCUCAGCUUCUCUGGUCAAUGAAUCAGUCCCCAAGUGAGUGUAAACACUUUUGAGAAUGUUUGUGGUUUAUUGAGUUACAUGAAACCCAACUACAUAUGGUGCGAGAAGGCAUUGUUGUAACUUGCAUGUUUUGUAAUAAGAACUGCUUGUAAAAAUAUG
Molecule: long non-coding RNA, 915 nt
Organism: Brassica oleracea var. oleracea
Lineage: Eukaryota; Viridiplantae; Streptophyta; Magnoliopsida; Brassicales; Brassicaceae
Exons: 5
Source: RefSeq, a predicted model, not a curated record